This 435-nucleotide ribosomal RNA is filed under the name uncultured bacterium. Its description in RNAcentral is "partial 16S ribosomal RNA". It matches the Rfam family "Bacterial small subunit ribosomal RNA", at positions 29 to 507 of the family's 1533-position model. The record is from RNAcentral.
AGCGAACGCUGGCGGCAGGCUUAACACAUGCAAGUCGAACGGGCAUAGCAAUAUGUCAGUGGCAGACGGGUGAGUAACGCGUGGGAACGUACCUUUUGGUUCGGAACAACACAGGGAAACUUGUGCUAAUACCGGAUAAGCCCUUACGGGGAAAGAUUUAUCGCCGAAAGAUCGGCCCGCGUCUGAUUAGCUAGUUGGUAGGGUAAUGGCCUACCAAGGCGACGAUCAGUAGCUGGUCUGAGAGGAUGAUCAGCCACAUUGGGACUGAGACACGGCCCAAACUCCUACGGGAGGCAGCAGUGGGGAAUAUUGGACAAUGGGCGAAAGCCUGAUCCAGCCAUGCCGCGUGAGUGAUGAAGGCACUAGGGUUGUAAAGCUCUUUUGUGCGGGAAGAUAAUGACGGUACCGCAAGAAUAAGCCCCGGCUAACUUCGUG